GCUCCUGAAUCCAAAACCCAAUCAUCAAGUGGACUGUCUACUGCAAGAAAUAAUGCAUCAUGUACCUCUUCUGUUACAGCAUUAGCAGAAUCAUCUUCAUUCUUCUUCUUAGGGCUUUUGCAUUGCCUUUUAAAGUGACUUGUUUUCCCACAAUUCCAGCAUUGUACUUAUUGGCCUGAUCUAGAUUUGCUUCUGUUCCGAUUAAAAUUUCUGGAAUUUGAUCUACCCUGAUUUGAAUUUCUGUUAUUACCUCUGCCUCUUGUCUCCAGGUUUAGGGCAGAACUAGAUCCUGAGGUUUCACCUGCAUCUCUUCGGCGAAUCUCCUCAGCCAGAAUUAAAUCUCGUAUAUCAUUGUACUUGAGCUUUUCCUUUCCCGUAGAAUUGCUUAUUGCCAUCCUCAUUGCCUCCCAACUGUUUGGCAAAGAAGCCAAGACGAUCAGAGCACGAAUCUCAUCAUCAAAAUCAAUU
This 468-nucleotide long non-coding RNA is filed under the name Vitis vinifera (wine grape). Its description in RNAcentral is "long non-coding RNA (VVIN_LNC004580)". The record is from RNAcentral. Lineage: Eukaryota; Viridiplantae; Streptophyta; Magnoliopsida; Vitales; Vitaceae.